GAUGAACGCUGACAGAAUGCUUAACACAUGCAAGUCAACUUGAAUAUGGGUUUUUAACUUAGGUUUGGGUGGCGGACGGGUGAGUAACGCGUAAAGAACUUGCCUCACAGCUAGGGACAACAUUUGGAAACGAAUGCUAAUACCUAAUAUUAUGAUAAUAGGGCAUCCUAUAAUUAUGAAAGCUAUAAGCGCUGUGAGAGAGCUUUGCGUCCCAUUAGCUAGUUGGAGAGGUAACGGCUCACCAAGGCGAUGAUGGGUAGCCGGCCUGAGAGGGUGAUCGGCCACAAGGGGACUGAGACACGGCCCUUACUCCUACGGGAGGCAGCAGUGGGGAAUAUUGGACAAUGGACCAAGAGUCUGAUCCAGCAAUUCUGUGUGCACGAUGAAGUUUUUCGGAAUGUAAAGUGCUUUCAGUUGGGAAGAAAGAAAUGACGGUACCAACAGAAGAAGUGACGGCUAAAUACGUGCCAGCAGCCGCGGUAAUACGUAUGUCACGAGCGUUAUCCGGAUUUAUUGGGCGUAAAGCGCGUCUAGGUGGUUAUGUAAGUCUGAUGUGAAAAUGCAGGGCUCAACUCUGUAUUGCGUUGGAAACUGUAUAACUAGAGUACUGGAGAGGUAAGCGGAACUACAAGUGUAGAGGUGAAAUUCGUAGAUAUUUGUAGGAAUGCCGAUGGGGAAGCCAGCUUACUGGACAGAUACUGACGCUGAAGCGCGAAAGCGUGGGUAGCAAACAGG
Molecule: ribosomal RNA, 735 nt
Filed under: uncultured Fusobacterium sp.
Lineage: Bacteria; Fusobacteriati; Fusobacteriota; Fusobacteriia; Fusobacteriales; Fusobacteriaceae
Description: bacterial SSU rRNA
Rfam family: Bacterial small subunit ribosomal RNA
Source: RNAcentral